CCUACGGGAGGCAGCAGUGGGGAAUAUUGGACAUUGGGGGCAACCCUGAUCCAGCCAUGCCGCGUGUGUGAAGAAGGCCCUCGGGUUGUAAAGCACUUUCAGUGAGGAAGAACGCCUGGUGGUUAAUACCCAUCAGGAAAGACAUCACUCACAGAAGAAGCACCGGCUAACUCCGUGCCAGCAGCCGCGGUAAUACGGAGGGUGCGAGCGUUAAUCGGAAUUACUGGGCGUAAAGCGCGCGUAGGUGGCUUGAUAAGCCGGUUGUGAAAGCCCCGGGCUCAACCUGGGAACGGCAUCCGGAACUGUCAAGCUAGAGUGCAGGAGAGGAAGGUAGAAUUCCCGGUGUAGCGGUGAAAUGCGUAGAGAUCGGGAGGAAUACCAGUGGCGAAGGCGGCCUUCUGGACUGACACUGACACUGAGGUGCGAAAGCGUGGGUAGCAAACAGGAUUAGAUACCCUAGUAGUC
This 465-nucleotide ribosomal RNA is filed under the name Vreelandella stevensii. Its description in RNAcentral is "partial 16S ribosomal RNA". It matches the Rfam family "Bacterial small subunit ribosomal RNA", at positions 338 to 795 of the family's 1533-position model. Lineage: Bacteria; Pseudomonadati; Pseudomonadota; Gammaproteobacteria; Oceanospirillales; Halomonadaceae. The record is from RNAcentral.